CCUACGGGGGGCAGCAGUGGGGAAUAUUGCACAAUGGGGGCAACCCUGAUGCAGCGACGCCGCGUGAGUGAAGAAGUAUUUCGGUACGUAAAGCUCUAUCAGCCGGGAAGAAAAUGACGGUACCUGACUAAGAAGCCCCGGCUAACUACAUGCCAGCAGCCGCGGUAAUACGGAGGGGGCAAGCGUUCUCCGGAUUUACUGGGUGUAAAGGGAGCGUAGACGGCAGCGCAAGUCUGGAGUGAAAUCCCAUGGCUUAACCAUGGAACUGCUUUGGAAACUGUGCAGCUAGAGUGCAGGAGAGGUAAGUGGAAUUCCUAGUGUAGCGGUGAAAUGCGUAGAUAUUAGGAGGAACACCAGUGGCGAAGGCGGCUUACUGGACUGUAACUGACGUUGAGGCUCGAAAGCGUGGGGAGCAAACAGGAUUAGAUACCCUAGUAGUC
This 440-nucleotide ribosomal RNA is filed under the name uncultured bacterium. RNAcentral describes it as "partial 16S ribosomal RNA". It matches the Rfam family "Bacterial small subunit ribosomal RNA", at positions 338 to 795 of the family's 1533-position model. The record is from RNAcentral.